RNAcentral lists this ribosomal RNA (1382 nucleotides) under uncultured bacterium. RNAcentral describes it as "16S ribosomal RNA". It matches the Rfam family "Bacterial small subunit ribosomal RNA", at positions 20 to 1398 of the family's 1533-position model. The record is from RNAcentral.
UGGCUCAAGACGAACGCUGGCGGCGUGCCUAAUACAUGCAAGUAGAACGCUGAAAAGAGGAGCUUGCUCUUUCUUGGAUGAGUUUGCGAACGGGUGAGUAACGCGUAGGUAACCUGCCUUUGUAGCGGGGGAUAACUAUUGGAAACGAUAGCUAAUACCGCAUAACAAUGGAUGACACAUGUCAUUUAUUUGAAAGGGGCAAUUGCUCCACUACAAGAUGGACCUGCGUUGUAUUAGCUAGUAGGUGAGGUAACGGCUCACCUANGCGACGAUACAUAGCCGACCUGAGAGGGUGAUCGGCCACACUGGGACUGAGACACGGCCCAGACUCCUACCGGAGGCAGCAGUANGGAAUCUUCCGCAAUGGGGGCCACCCUGACCGAACACGCCGCGUGAGUGAAGAAGGUUUUCGAUCCUAAGCUCUGUUGUAGUCUAAACGAGUGUGAGAAUGGAAAGUUACACUGUGACAGUACUUAACCAAAGGGACAGCUCACUACGUGCCGCCCCGCGGUAUACGUAUGUCCCGAGCGUUUCCCGAUUUUUUGGCGUUAACGAGCGCAGGCGGUUGAUAAGUCUGAAGUUAAAGGCUGUGGCUCAACCAUAGUUCGCUUUGGAAACUGUCAAACUUGAGUGCAGAAGGGGAGAGUGGAACUCCAUGUGUAGCGGUGAAAUGCGUAGAUAUAUGGAGGAACACCGGUGGCGAAAGCGGCUCUCUGGUCUGUAACUGACGCUGAGGCUCGAAAGCGUGGGGAGCGAACAGGAUUAGAUACCCUGGUAGUCCACGCCGUAAACGAUGAGUGCUAGGUGUUGGAUCCUUUCCGGGAUUCAGUGCCGCAGCUAACGCAUUAAGCACUCCGCCUGGGGAGUACGACCGCAAGGUUGAAACUCAAAGGAAUUGACGGGGGCCCGCACAAGCGGUGGAGCAUGUGGUUUAAUUCGAAGCAACGCGAAGAACCUUACCAGGUCUUGACAUCCCGAUGCUAUUUCUAGAGAUAGAAAGUUACUUCGGUACAUCGGUGACAGGUGGUGCAUGGUUGUCGUCAGCUCGUGUCGUGAGAUGUUGGGUUAAGUCCCGCAACGAGCGCAACCCCUAUUGUUAGUUGCCAUCAUUCAGUUGGGCACUCUAGCGAGACUGCCGGUAAUAAACCGGAGGAAGGUGGGGAUGACGUCAAAUCAUCAUGCCCCUUAUGACCUGGGCUACACACGUGCUACAAUGGUUGGUACAACGAGUUGCGAGUCGGUGACGGCAAGCUAAUCUCUUAAAGCCAAUCUCAGUUCGGAUUGUAGGCUGCAACUCGCCUACAUGAAGUCGGAAUCGCUAGUAAUCGCGGAUCAGCACGCCGCGGUGAAUACGUUCCCGGGCCUUGUACACACCGCCCGUC